GACGAACGCUGGCGGCGCGCCUAACACAUGCAAGUCGAACGGAGUCAAGAGGAGCUUGCUUUUCUUGACUUAGUGGCGAACGGGUGAGUAACGCGUGAGUAACCUGCCCUGGAGUGGGGGACAACAGUUGGAAACGACUGCUAAUACCGCAUAAGCCCACGGAUCUGCAUGGAUCUGCGGGAAAAGGAUUUAUUCGCUCUAGGAUGGACUCGCGUCCAAUUAGCUAGUUGGUGAGGUAACGGCCCACCAAGGCGACGAUUGGUAGCCGGACUGAGAGGUUGAACGACCACAUUGGUACUGAGACACGGCCCAGACUCCUACGGGAGGCAGCAGUGGGGGAUAUUGCACAAUGGGGGAAACCCUGAUGCAGCGACGCCGCGUGGAGGAAGAAGGUUUUCGGAUUGUAAACUCCUGUCGUUAGGGACGAUAAUGACGGUACCUAACAAGAAAGCACCGGCUAACUACGUG
RNAcentral lists this ribosomal RNA (468 nucleotides) under uncultured bacterium. RNAcentral's name for it is "partial 16S ribosomal RNA". It matches the Rfam family "Bacterial small subunit ribosomal RNA", at positions 28 to 507 of the family's 1533-position model. The record is from RNAcentral.